This 72-nucleotide transfer RNA is filed under the name Nematostella vectensis (starlet sea anemone). It matches the Rfam family "tRNA". From Rfam's summary of the family: Transfer RNA (tRNA) molecules are approximately 80 nucleotides in length. Their secondary structure includes four short double-helical elements and three loops (D, anti-codon, and T loops). The record is from Rfam by way of RNAcentral. Lineage: Eukaryota; Metazoa; Cnidaria; Anthozoa; Actiniaria; Edwardsiidae.
UUGGAUGUAGCUCAGUGGUAGAGCGUUCUCUUCGCAUGCGGAAGUCCCUAGGUUCGAUCCCCCGCAUCUACA